Molecule: small nucleolar RNA, 129 nt
Filed under: Cervus elaphus hippelaphus
Lineage: Eukaryota; Metazoa; Chordata; Mammalia; Artiodactyla; Cervidae
Also listed under: 1 other name
Source: RNAcentral
AAGCACGUUUCAUUGUCUUUUUUCUUUAUAUCAAGAGAAAAGAUAUUUCUGAUGUGCUAAAUAAACCCCUGGAGGUAAAUUAGCGGCAUGACUAAUUUAGUCAUUGCUGUCAGUCUCCUUCAGACACCG